This 404-nucleotide ribosomal RNA is filed under the name Actinomycetes bacterium. Its description in RNAcentral is "Actinobacteria bacterium partial 16S ribosomal RNA". It matches the Rfam family "Bacterial small subunit ribosomal RNA", at positions 355 to 776 of the family's 1533-position model. Lineage: Bacteria; Bacillati; Actinomycetota; Actinomycetes. The record is from RNAcentral.
UGGGGAAUAUUGGACAAUGGGCGCAAGCCUGAUCCAGCCAUGCCGCGUGAGUGAUGAAGGCCCUAGGGUUGUAAAGCUCUUUCACCGGUGAAGAUAAUGACGGUAACCGGAGAAGAAGCCCCGGCUAACUUCGUGCCAGCAGCCGCGGUAAUACGAAGGGGGCUAGCGUUGUUCGGAUUUACUGGGCGUAAAGCGCACGUAGGCGGACUUUUAAGUCAGGGGUGAAAUCCCGGGGCUCAACCCCGGAACUGCCUUUGAUACUGGAAGUCUUGAGUAUGGUAGAGGUGAGUGGAAUUCCGAGUGUAGAGGUGAACUUCGUAGAUAUUCGGAGGAACACCAGUGGCGAAGGCGGCUCACUGGACCAUUACUGACGCUGGGGUGCGAAAGCGUGGGGAGCAAACAGG